UUCUUUUUGAUUUAUAAUUUAAAGUAAGUUCUGCUCANUGAUUAAUAAUUAAAUAGCUGCAGUAUUUUGACUGUACAAAGGUAGCAUAAUAAAUUGUUUUUUAAAUGAAAACUUGAAUGAAGGAAUUAAUGAAAUAUAAACUUUAUUAGAUUAAUAUAUAUAAAUUUAUUUUUUAGUUAAAAAGCUUAAAUAUAUUUAUGGGACGAGAAGACCCUAUAGAAUUUUAUAUUUAAAUAAUUAAAUAAAUUAUUUAAAUAUUUUUUUGGGAGGAAAGAAAAAUAUAAACUUUUUUUGAUUAUAAACAAUGAUUAUUGAUUUUUUAUUGAUUUUAUUAAAAAUAAAUAUAAGAUUAAAUUACCUUAGGGAUAACAGCGUAAUAUUUUUUGAUAGUUCUUAUUGAUAAAAAUGUU
Molecule: ribosomal RNA, 410 nt
Filed under: Laelius sp.
Lineage: Eukaryota; Metazoa; Arthropoda; Insecta; Hymenoptera; Bethylidae
Description: partial large subunit ribosomal RNA
Source: RNAcentral